This 395-nucleotide ribosomal RNA is filed under the name uncultured bacterium. RNAcentral's name for it is "bacterial SSU rRNA". It matches the Rfam family "Bacterial small subunit ribosomal RNA", at positions 28 to 417 of the family's 1533-position model. The record is from RNAcentral.
GACGAACGCUGGCGGCGUGCUUAACACAUGCAAGUGGUGCGACGAACCAGGGCUUGCCCUGGGGCAAAGCCGCGAACGGGUGAGUAACACGUGAGUAACCUGCCCCGAUGACCGGGACAACCCGAGGAAACUCGGGCUAAUACCGGAUGUGGCGCACAGGCAUCAGCCUGUUCGCUAAAGGAAGCUUCGGCCUCCGCAUUGGGAGGGGCUCGCGGCCCAUUAGCUUGUUGGUGGGGUAACGGCCUACCAAGGCAACGAUGGGUAGCUGGUCUGAGAGGACGAUCAGCCACACUGGGACUGAGACACGGCCCAGACUCCUACGGGAGGCAGCAGUGGGGAAUCUUGCGCAAUGCGCGAAAGCGUGACGCAGCAACGCCGCGUGGGGAAGACGGCCU